UGGUUAAGUCCGCAACGAGCGCAACCCUAUUGUAGUUGCCAUCAUUCAGUUGGGCACUCUAGCGAGACUGCCGGUAAUAAACCGGAGGAAGGUGGGGAUGACGUCAAAUCAUCAUGCCCCUUAUGACCUGGGCUACACACGUGCUACAAUGGUUGGUACAACGAGUUGCGAGUCGGUGACGGCGAGCUAAUCUCUUAAAGCCAAUCUCAGUUCGGAUUGUAGGCUGCAACUCGCCUACAUGAAGUCGGAAUCGCUAGUAAUCGCGGAUCAGCACGCCGCGGUGAAUACGUUCCCGGGCCUU
This 301-nucleotide ribosomal RNA is filed under the name uncultured Streptococcus sp. RNAcentral's name for it is "bacterial SSU rRNA". It matches the Rfam family "Bacterial small subunit ribosomal RNA", at positions 1077 to 1382 of the family's 1533-position model. The record is from RNAcentral. Lineage: Bacteria; Bacillati; Bacillota; Bacilli; Lactobacillales; Streptococcaceae.